This 495-nucleotide ribosomal RNA is filed under the name uncultured bacterium. RNAcentral's name for it is "partial 16S ribosomal RNA". It matches the Rfam family "Bacterial small subunit ribosomal RNA", at positions 28 to 507 of the family's 1533-position model. The record is from RNAcentral.
GACGAACGCUGGCGGCGUGCCUAAUACAUGCAAGUAGAACGCUGAAGGAGGAGCUUGCUUCUCUGGAUGAGUUGCGAACGGGUGAGUAACGCGUAGGUAACCUGCCUGGUAGCGGGGGAUAACUAUUGGAAACGAUAGCUAAUACCGCAUAACAGUAGAUAUCGCAUGAUAUCUACUUGAAAGGUGCAAUUGCAUCACUACCAGAUGGACCUGCGUUGUAUUAGCUAGUUGGUGAGGUAACGGCUCACCAAGGCGACGAUACAUAGCCGACCUGAGCGGGGGAUCGGCCACACUGGGACUGGGACACGGCCCAGACUCCUACGGGAGGCAGCAGUAGGGAAUCUUCGGCAAUGGACGGAAGUCUGACCGAGCAACGCCGCGUGAGUGAAGAAGGUUUUCGGAUCGUAAAGCUCUGUUGUAAGAGAAGAACGAGUGUGAGAGUGGAAAGUUCACACUGUGACGGUAUCUUACCAGAAAGGGACGGCUAACUACGUG